AAUAGAUACCCGGUAGUCCACGCCGUAAACGGUGGGCACUAGAUGUGGGGCUCUUUCCAUGAGUUCCGCGUCGCAGCUAACGCAUUAAGUGCCCCGCCUGGGGAGUACGGCCGCAAGGCUAAAACUCAAAGGAAUUGACGGGGGCCCGCACAAGCGGCGGAGCAUGCGGAUUAAUUCGAUGCAACGCGAAGAACCUUACCAAGGCUUGACAUAUACGGUCUAUCCCUAGAGAUAGGGAGUGCUUCGGCGCCGUAUACAGGUGGUGCAUGGUUGUCGUCAGCUCGUGUCGUGAGAUGUUGGGUUAAGUCCCGCAACGAGCGCAACCCUCGUUCUAUGUUGCCAGCGCGUAAUGGCGGGGACUCAUAGGAGACUGCCGGGGUCAACUCGGAGGAAGGUGGGGAUGACGUCAAAUCAUCAUGCCCCUUAUGUUCUUGGGCUUCACGCAUGCUACAAUGGCCGGUACAAAGGGCUGCAAUACCGUAAGGUGGAGCGAAUCCCAAAAAGCCGGUCUCAGUUCGGA
RNAcentral lists this ribosomal RNA (520 nucleotides) under uncultured bacterium. Its description in RNAcentral is "bacterial SSU rRNA". It matches the Rfam family "Bacterial small subunit ribosomal RNA", at positions 777 to 1297 of the family's 1533-position model. The record is from RNAcentral.